This 642-nucleotide ribosomal RNA is filed under the name Triticum aestivum (bread wheat). Its description in RNAcentral is "partial small subunit ribosomal RNA". The record is from RNAcentral. Lineage: Eukaryota; Viridiplantae; Streptophyta; Magnoliopsida; Poales; Poaceae.
AUGAAGACUUUGGUUUUCUAUAUCUUCAAGGGCGUCAGCUUCAAUGCUCAGGACUUCUUCAUCCGGAAGUUAGCUGCAUCUGGCUCCGACAUCUUUGGUCUGAAGGUCUACGCUCCAUGGGUAAUGCGCCUUAUCAAGCUUCACUCUGCCUUCAACUAUCAGCCGUCUGCGCGCAAUCAUCUUGUAUUCUUGCCAGAGGUUGAUCUGUCUGUUGAAGCUAUUUACCCAGAGCCUACUAAGGAUUCAAUCUAUCUUCACAACGUUGAUCGUCAAAGCUUCACCCAACCCAUUGAAGGAGUUCAGGCAGUCUCUCGUGUUUAUCCCUUGGCUGGUAACACACGUGCCCCUCGCGCCCAAACUGACGCAACUAGAAGCACCAUAUCCCAAAGGCCUCGGAAGCGAUCUCGUGUUCUCAAUGACCGAGAGCUUCUCGUCGCGCUACAUCAGAAACAGGAUAAGCAUCAUGACUGGCUUAAGCGUCAGAUGCAAAGCCUCUUGGUGGACGUCAAUCACAUUCGCAAUCUUGCCACCAAGAAUGCCUUUGUUACACAUGAAACCUGUCGGAGGUCUUGGAAGAGUUUGACCUUGCUCACUGCUGAAGAAGAUCUUCAAGACGAUGGCUUCACAGAAAGACAAGUUUGA